GGUGGCUUAGUGGUAAAGUGCUUGCCUAGCAUGCAUGAGGCCCUAGGUUUGAUUCCUUGAUACCA
Molecule: transfer RNA, 65 nt
Filed under: Dipodomys ordii (Ord's kangaroo rat)
Lineage: Eukaryota; Metazoa; Chordata; Mammalia; Rodentia; Heteromyidae
Rfam family: tRNA
About the family: Transfer RNA (tRNA) molecules are approximately 80 nucleotides in length. Their secondary structure includes four short double-helical elements and three loops (D, anti-codon, and T loops).
Source: Rfam by way of RNAcentral